UUUAAAACACAAAAAAGAGACUACAGGUUGGAUCUUAAAAGAAAAUUGACCACUGUUCCUCCUCCUUCUUCACGAAGCAACUGAACAACAACGAACAGAAAACACACGAAAACAAAAAGAAACCCUCUUCUGCUUCAACCUUCAUCAUCGUUCUCCUACAGCCCGCCUCCUCAUCGCCAGAGAAGAUGCUUCGUCACAGCCUAACCCACGGCCACCCUACUGCCCAAACGGACUGACCAAACAGCCUCCAGUCUUUCACGAACCACCAGCCUGCUGCGUCUUCCAACCCUCACGCUGACCACCUCCGAGCUCCAGCCACUGCUGCUGCUUCCCCGUCAACCACCCUACAGCAGUCCGCCAUAGCCACGCCGGAAAAAUCAACCAGUCCAGUCGCGGCUUCCAUCGUCGACCACCCUAGACCUCACGUCAAACGAUCAAACCAAGGAGGUAAUACUACUGUUCUUGAUAAUCUUCUCCCUCUGAAGAACUAACAAAAUACGCUAACGCCUAAACCUCCGAGCUCCAGCUACUGCUGCUGCUUCCCCGUCAACCACCCUACAGCAGUCCGCCAUAGCCACGCCGGAAAAAUCAACCAGUCCAGUCGCGGCUUCCAUCGUCGACCACCCUAGACCUCACGUCAAACGACCAAACCACACUUCCACCAAGCACUAGUCCACUGCCCAGUCACGCCAAACCCACCGACCGACAUCCAGUCCGUCAACCUCACGUCGCCAUUGACGCAGCAGGUGCUGCGUCGUUCAUCUUCCUCAGCCCAGCGACAAACCAUGUAACGGACCAAACGUCCACCAGUUAUUUUCCGGCGAGUUUCGAGUGCGAUUUGGAGUAGAGGUUCGAGUUUUCCGUCGAGGUCCGUUUGUAGUUCCGUCAAGGGUCGAUAAAUUUUCCGGGUAUGUUUUGUUGCGUUGUUUUAUCUAGUUAUAGGUAUGUGACUAUACUUUUUGAGUUUUGUUAAGAUAUUAAUCGAAAAUCUGGGUUACAUACUACUUUGUGUUUGUUAUGAAUAUUCAUGCAUUUUCUUGCUUGAGUAUAAUACCGAGUAUAACAUGCCUGCCUUCAACUUGUAGGUUGUUAUUUUGCAUUGCAUUUUGUUAAAUGUGUUUGGAUAGUUAAUAUUUAAUUAUUUGUCUUAAUAGGUGCCUAUAUAUGUUCUGAAAAGAUUAUAUUAAUUUUAAUUCCUCAAAAAUGCUUUUUUCAUCAAAUAAGCUCAAUUCAUAUUUCGUGACCCUCGUGUUGUGAUUUUUAAUCCCUCAGAAAUUAGGGUGUGUUUUAGCUGAAUUUCCAUGGUCCUAGAUUGGAACAUGCGUAACAUUGUUAAUAAACUUGGACUUUGGGAUUUUGAGCCUUUCAAUUAUUUAGGUUGUUUUUAUUUUUUAAAAUAGAAAACAUAGUCACUUUAAUAUAUCCUUAAAAUAAAUGAGGUGUGCCUCUCCAAAUUAAAUCGCAAAUUGCGGGGCCAUCAUAAAUGUAUAUAUUAAAAAUACUUAGACUCCGGGAUGGGCCGUUUAGCUAAUUGCACGGCCUUCCCCAAAAUAAUAACGCGUUAGACUCGUUAGGAGCGUAUUUUAAUAACAUUACCUUCUUAAACCUGGGUGUACAUUGAUGUGACCCAAAUCCAAGUCUCAACGAAGUCAGAAUAUGUCGACGAUCACAUGUCAACUGGUUGGGACGUGGUUCGAGAUGCAUUUUCACGAUGUUGCAAUUCUUUUUAAAAAAAAAUUAACAAAUGAGGCGUGCCUCGCCAA
This 1763-nucleotide long non-coding RNA is filed under the name Nicotiana benthamiana. RNAcentral's name for it is "long non-coding RNA (NBEN_LNC022190)". Lineage: Eukaryota; Viridiplantae; Streptophyta; Magnoliopsida; Solanales; Solanaceae. The record is from RNAcentral.